UUCAAGAUCGCGUGGACAUUGACGGGCCAAGCCCACCAAAACUGGCCCGCCGUUCUUCUCGGCGUCUCCGCCGCCACGCCAGGCUCUGGUAGCCUCAUACCCGGACCGGACCACCGGCCGCCGGUCCGCCGGCGACGAGGGGUACAUGCUCGGAGACCGCCGCCUUCCGUGGCUGUCCUCUUUAUCUGCGACGAGUUACUGUAGCCAGGUGCUCCUUCCCAUGUGAUUCUUCUGGGUGUGCCUCGCUGAAGCAUCUAUAGCAGUAUGCUUUCCCUAUCACCUUAAUGAUAGGAGCAUAUGUCGAUGAGAGAGAAGGUGGUGACAAGCUUCUGGCUGCCUCACCAAGCAUUGGAAUGGCAACCAGCACAGCUAAGACCAGCCAUAGGUGACCCUUUGGCCGGCCUCCGAUGUUCAUUUUCAUGGCUGAGCAGUGCUUUCUCUGGUGAGAGGAGGAGAGGGGAGAUUGUGAAUGAAUUUGGCUUUGGUAUGGGUAGGUAUUUAUAAUGUUCAAGGUGGCAUUUGGCAGGGUUUGUGACACAGCAGGUAGGGGGUGGAGGUGGCAGUAUGUCCAUCUGAAUGUUUAGUGCCUGCACUUUGUCACCCACUUGAUUUCAGGGGGAGUAUGAAACUAGGUGUGAUUUAAGAUAACAUUUUGUAGUUAGAGUACUAUUUAGUAUGGUGUAUAUAAAUCUUCUGGGAUGUAAUUUCAGAGAAUAAUACUGUAAAAUUUUAAGUGGCCGCAAAUAUAACAUUUUGUUAGUGAAGAAUUCACUAGCGUGAUA
Molecule: long non-coding RNA, 782 nt
Organism: Lolium perenne
Lineage: Eukaryota; Viridiplantae; Streptophyta; Magnoliopsida; Poales; Poaceae
Source: RefSeq, a predicted model, not a curated record